Long non-coding RNA from Salvia miltiorrhiza (redroot sage), 515 nucleotides. RefSeq lists it as uncharacterized. The transcript is spliced from 3 exons. The record is from RefSeq and is a predicted model, not a curated record. Lineage: Eukaryota; Viridiplantae; Streptophyta; Magnoliopsida; Lamiales; Lamiaceae.
AAUGUUGGUGUUGUUCCUGCAAAGGCGUCGGUAAUGAUUGGCUAUGUUUGCAAAAGACGAAAGAUGUAAUUCGAUAUGGUUGUAAAGUAUAAUUAACUUUUGAAUUAUCAGGUGUGGAAGAACACAAAACCUAGAACGGGUGGACAUAAACGAGUUAUUUUGGGCAACAUUUCUACAAAUAUUGAUGGUGAAUCCUCUCGUACCCCACAUCCUAUCAAGAAAGGGCGAUUGUUGAAAUCUGCAAAUUUGCGUUCACCAUACUUGCAGCGUGAAAUAAAUACUACAAAGGCGUUGAACAAAAUGGAGAAGGAACUGGGGGUGUAUGCAAUGUACAAAGAUGACGAUGAAGAGAGUGAGGUAAUGUUCUCUUACAAGGAUAUUGAGCUACGCCGUACGGACAUGUGCACCUUGCGUAGGGGAGAAAUUAUAGGGUCUUACCUCAUCAAUGCAUGGUGUGUGAUACUUAAUAGUAAGGAACAAACUCGUUCAAACACGUCGCAUGUUCGCUUUUUUGG